Molecule: long non-coding RNA, 1553 nt
Filed under: Penaeus japonicus
Lineage: Eukaryota; Metazoa; Arthropoda; Malacostraca; Decapoda; Penaeidae
Description: uncharacterized LOC122264511
Source: RNAcentral
CCGGGGCAGUGCCGGUCGUCACUCACGUCGGCCCUGCGAGCUGGUGGCCAAGGGCGGCCGUGGCCACGACCCCCGGGGUCCUGUGUCCGAAAGGGCCUCGCUCGCAGGACGCUCUGGGGCCUCCUUUCCAGCCUACAUCCGAAGGAAUUUGCAACUAGCACAUCUAGGGAAAACAUUUUGCUAGCCAGCUACGCCCCUGUAGUACGGCGGUUCUAGGGCGGUUGCAAGCUCGCGCCAGACACGCGGUUCGCCCUUCUGCGGCGCCCCCAAGCCGAAAGCCCGGCUGUCACGCGUCACUCGCAAGGGCAACGGCAUCAAGGAGCCGACCUCGGGCCAUCCCGACGGCCGAGGGCGAGGGAAGGAGAGGUUUCCGUCGGUUUAGAGGAUUUUAAAGUCCGAGCUGGCAACCGGCGCGCGAGGGGACCAGAAGGCUGGAUGUAUCGACUCAUUCACUCACUCGGAGACGCGAGGGGAGGAAAGGUGCACGACUCGCUCCCGCGCUUGUGACAGUGGGUAGGGGCACGGCGGGCAGAGGGCAGGCGUGGAAGCCCUCGAGGUGGUGCCAAAGGAAGGGCCGAGGGCGCAGCACAGCGCUCGCCGAUCGGGGGGCCGAGGGAGCUGUGAUUUGCGAGAUCCUUGGCUGCCGUAUGACGGGAAGGUCCUUUCCGCCGUCGAAAGCUCUCGUGUGAUUGCAGACUUUUAAAUAUUCACGUAUUUUUUCCUUCGCGGUUUCCUGCGGGAGCCUUCCACGGCGUCUCUCGGAGCACGUUCCUGCGGCGGGAGGGAGCAGACCGGCGAGGAAAUGCCUCCCACCCGGGACAUAGUGCUCGCGCGGAGCUGCAUUCUGGAAACGGGCUGCUUGUGGUGCACACACACUCACGCACACACACGCACACAGCGCCGCGGGGAGUAGAACUCCAGCAGCAGCCUGCACGGUGGCCGCCCAGACAACAGCCUGCACCGCCAGCGCUCGCCGAUGGUCACGCCGCGACGCCGCCAGAUUAGAAAAUGACCCCUACGUGCCGUGUGGCUCAAGCUUGUUGAUUCAGCCUCCCUUAUGACGACCGAGAAAGUGCUAUUCCCGGUCGAACUAGCUAGGUCUUUUAGUGACUUUGAUAGAUAGAAUGACAUAAAUAGGCAUUUCUGGCACUGGAUAAUAAAGGGAUUAAAUUUAGGUCUAUUUUUUUUAUAUUCUUCUCCUGUGCCCCUGAAAUUGAAAGAUAAAGCAUAUGUGAUUUAAUGUAUUUAUUUAUUUAUUCAUUUUUUUUUAAACGUUUGUUUCUAAUGUGAAAUUUAUGUGUGAUUUGAAGGUAUGGAAAAAAGUUGAAAUGCAGAAGUGAGAGAUUAAAAGGAAAAAAAAAAAUAAUAAUAAAAAAAUAAACAACGAAAAGAAAAUAGCAAAAAUAUAAUAAAUAAAACAACAACGCUAAUAAACAUGUAUUUGAAGUCAAUACCGAGUUUGCGUUUGAGAAGAUAAGAUAAGUUAGAGAAAGAAAGAAAAGGCAAGAGAGAGAGAGAGAGAGAGAGAGAGAGAGAGAGAGAGAGAGAAACAG